GGAUGCGAUCAUACCAGCACUAAAGCAUCGGAUCCCAUCAGAACUCCGAAGUUAAGCGUGCUUGGGCGCGAGUAGUACUAGGAUGGGUGACCUCCUGGGAAGUCCUCAUGUUGCAUUCC
Molecule: ribosomal RNA, 119 nt
Filed under: Triticum aestivum (bread wheat)
Lineage: Eukaryota; Viridiplantae; Streptophyta; Magnoliopsida; Poales; Poaceae
Source: RNAcentral